Molecule: long non-coding RNA, 382 nt
Filed under: Mustela putorius furo (domestic ferret)
Lineage: Eukaryota; Metazoa; Chordata; Mammalia; Carnivora; Mustelidae
Description: lncRNA (ENSMPUG00000027273.1)
Source: RNAcentral
CUUUAAGCAAGUCAUAAAAACUUCCCGAGCUUUGGUGUUUCCAUCUGUAAAAAUUUAUGUCGUGGGAUCUUCAAUCUGUGGCUGCAAGGAGUAAUGAAGAGGUCUCCUGGUUAACAUGGCAAUGUGUGCCUGUGGAAGACACUCCUGCUGCCAGAGGUGGACAUGGCUGGGCGAACCACAUGCAGGGGCUUGGGGCUGAUACUCCACAUGGUGAGAGCAUGAACCCUAGGGAAAGGAAGGAUCCAGGUGGGUUUCACAUACGUUUCCUUCUUGUGUUCUGUGUUUUGUAGAAAUUGUCUGUCAAAAUGUUUCUUUCUGCUUAAGACAGAACAGAAACAGAGACUGCGCCUUAAUUUUGUAUGCAAAAACUUCCAUGGAGUAC